GACGAACGCUGGCGGCGUGCUUAACACAUGCAAGUCGAACGGAAAGGCCCUGCUUUUGUGGGGUGCUCGAGUGGCGAACGGGUGAGUAACACGUGAGUAACCUGCCCUUGACUUUGGGAUAACUUCAGGAAACUGGGGCUAAUACCGGAUAGGAGCUCCUGCUGCAUGGUGGGGGUUGGAAAGUUUCGGCGGUUGGGGAUGGACUCGCGGCUUAUCAGCUUGUUGGUGGGGUAGUGGCUUACCAAGGCUUUGACGGGUAGCCGGCCUGAGAGGGUGACCGGCCACAUUGGGACUGAGAUACGGCCCAGACUCGUACGGGAGGCAGCAGUGGGGAAUAUAGCACAAUGGGCGGAAGCCUGAUGCAGCAACGCCGCGUGCGGGAUGACGGCCUUCGGGUUGUAAACCGCUUUCGCCUGUGACGAAGCGUGAGUGACGGUAAUGGGUAAAGAAGCACCGGCUAACUACGUG
This 468-nucleotide ribosomal RNA is filed under the name uncultured bacterium. RNAcentral's name for it is "partial 16S ribosomal RNA". It matches the Rfam family "Bacterial small subunit ribosomal RNA", at positions 28 to 507 of the family's 1533-position model. The record is from RNAcentral.